CUCCAUCCUAGUAAACCAAAGGGAUAAUAGUGGUGUGUGUGUCUUUUCUUCCAGAAGAGAGGUAUAAUUUGCUUUGCUAUGUUCAGGAUGCAGAUUAUCAGAGAGUGUGAGGGGGUUGCGGUGUGAUGGAGUAGGUUAAUGGCCGAGAGGAAUGGUGGUGGGUUAUUAGAGAACAUUCUAAUGUUGGAAGCAAUGCUUCUCCAAAAGGGUACUAUAUCCUGACAUUCCAUAUGUGAAGUAAAGAACACGGGUAUCUUCCAC
Non-coding RNA from Pelobates cultripes (western spadefoot toad), 261 nucleotides. NCBI's taxonomy places the organism in Eukaryota, Metazoa, Chordata, Amphibia, Anura, Pelobatidae. The record is from the annotation of a GenBank genome assembly.